RNAcentral lists this ribosomal RNA (482 nucleotides) under uncultured bacterium. RNAcentral describes it as "partial 16S ribosomal RNA". It matches the Rfam family "Bacterial small subunit ribosomal RNA", at positions 28 to 507 of the family's 1533-position model. The record is from RNAcentral.
GACGAACGCUGGCGGCGUGCUUAACACAUGCAAGUCGAACGCUGAAGCUCAGCUUGCUGGGUGGAUGAGUGGCGAACGGGUGAGUAACACGUGAGUAACCUGCCCUCUUCUUUGGGAUAACGCCCGGAAACGGGUGCUAAUACUGGAUAUUCACUGAUUCUCGCAUGGGGGUUGGUGGAAAGGUUUUUUCUGGUGGGGGAUGGGCUCGCGGCCUAUCAGCUUGUUGGUGGGGUGAUGGCCUACCAAGGCUUUGACGGGUAGCCGGCCUGAGAGGGUGACCGGUCACAUUGGGACUGAGAUACGGCCCAGACUCCUACGGGAGGCAGCAGUGGGGAAUAUUGCACAAUGGGCGAAAGCCUGAUGCAGCGACGCCGCGUGAGGGAUGGAGGCCUUCGGGUUGUAAACCUCUUCCGCUCAUGGUCAAGCCGCAGCUUUGGGUUGUGGUGAGGGUAGUGGGUAAAGAAGCGCCGGCUAACUACGUG